GCACAAACAACAAGUGAAGAGGAGCUAAUUGAGAGAAGACGAGAUUGAAGCGGCUGCCAAAAUCUCUCAUUCUCCUCCUAUUUUCUUGUACAAAUCGCUCACACUAGUCACCAUUUCUUAGUCGUCCAUGCCUACCGAUGACCUCUCAUAGCUAGAGGUAGUGAAUCUCAUCCAAUUUUUGCCUUAAUUGUGAUGAAGACUGCACUAUAUACAGUUAGUUUAUUUAUUUAUUUAUUUAUUAUUAUUAUUAUUAUUAUUAUUAUUUUUUUUUUUUUUUUUUUUUUAGCAUUUUACUCAGUAACUGUUCUUUCUCUCAUUUUUCACAUAAGAUUUUCGUUAUUUCACAUGGGUUCCAUUGUUAUGUGUUCCAUUUUUCAAAUCUUACAUCUCCAGUAGGUUGUAAUGUUGUUAUUGCUCAUUCUAUUUUUCAAUUUUUAGAUGUAAUAAUGCAAUUUUUUAUUCCAUUGCUCAAAUUUACUACUGGAAGAUCAGAUGUAGUACCAAAAAUGGAAAUGACAAAUAAAAAUAAAUAAUUUAUAGUUGAAUCAAAGAAUGAUUUGUUCAACAGUUCACAAUCCUUAAACUUCAAACAAGUCAUUAGUUGACAUAUUGAUCACAAACCUUCACACAUCAUGUUCUCACGGUUGUAAUUUGCUUGAAUCUUCUCUUCAGUUUCUGUGUCAAGCCAUUUGACUAUUGAGAUCGAGCUCCUACUUGACUCAGAAAUACUCUUUUGAUACUUGGCUUCCAAAUGGGAGCGGGAGUUCUCCAUUUCCCUCUCAGCUUCUUCUUUAGAUUAUCUCAAUCUUUUCAUUUUCAGGUUUUUAGUAGUAGAUAUUGUUGGGUUUUUGAUACUCAAUAAUCCGGGCGAUGAUUUAAAACAAUUGUCGGAUUAUUUAUCGAUACGGCGAUACCAUGGACUUGGCUCGGCUUGGAGAUGAACUACACUUUUGGAUGGCUCGGGUUUGGGUUGGAUUAUUAUUUGGUUAGUUGGACUAUUUAGAGAUUAAUAUGGAGUUGAAUAUUGGCCCAUUAGUUUGGGUUAAUUGGUAGCCCUCUUAGUGAACCCUAGGCCCAAUUGGAGUGACCUAAACUAACCUAUAUAUACGUAUUUAUCUCCUAGCCAUUUUUGGUGUGUGUGUUGUAGCAAUGGAGAGGAGAGUUGAGAGAAGAGAGGUAGUCGAGAGAGAAGGAAGCCAUGUGAGGUUGUGAGUGAGAUUCAACCAUUGUGAUAUAUUUUUCUUCCUCUUCAUACCUUUGUAGAUUGCUAACACCACCACCACCCUUCUCUUUUGUGGGGUUUGAGAGAGUUUGGACAGUCCAAAGUGAAGGCGAAAGUCUCGGGUCGAGUCAAGGUAAAUCGGUGUUCGUUUGAUUGUUUUCUGAGUCUGAAAUCAAGAUUUAUCGAGAGAUUUUCGCUACAGUUACAAUUUGUUGAGCCUCCUGCUCCGCACUCAGUAGCAUCUGAAUAACUUAUUGUCCUCUCGUUGAAUCCAUUUCAGCUAUUUGAUGGAAAUUCGCAGAGAUAGAAAUGGUAUUUUUUUUAAGAAAACGUGAGAGAAUAGAAAAGGCAAUUCCAUGCAAUGUAUUUAUAACGCAAUUAUAAUAAUAAAAAGAAAUGCAAAUGCAAAAAUCUUACGGUGUUAAUUCAACUGAAUAUUUUCCUAGCAAUUAUUGAACGCAAAUGUUGCCUGAAACACAAAGAAACAGAGAGACAUAUCCUUUUUUUCCCCCCCUUUUUUUAGUUUCCAAAACACACAGAAGAGCUAGAGCUAUAAAUUCUAGGAUUAUACUCAAUCAAAGCUAAUCAAAUCUUUCUCAUUGUGCGUGAAAAGUUAUGUGUAAUUAAUUAAGGAUUAUGUUAUCUUGUCGCAGAGUGAUAGUGUAAAAUUCGUUUCAAAUAUUUUAGCAUGAAUAUAUGAACAAAAUUAAGAACAGUGAGUUUCAAUGAUUUUAUUUUAGGAUUAUGAAAUAAUAUGCAAUAGUUUAAAUAAAUUAAAAAUACUACCAAUAAAUAGAUUUUUCAACACAUCAAAGUUGAUAGGAGUUUUUAAAGAAAAUUCAUGAAAAAGAAUUUAAAGAAUUUUAAUAAAAGUUGAUGACAUGCAUGUCUUAAAAGUUUGAUUAAAGUUAUGAGUUUAUGAAAUAUGUGAUCAAAUUAAAAUUUAACAAGCUCAAAAUUGAAAAAUUAACCUAGUUUAUUAAACAAGCAUGAAGCAUGUAAUUUUUCAAUGUUUGAUACAUAAUUAUAUUCCUCAGUUGGAAUGUCUAGAGUCGACUUUGCUCCUACCUUACUCAUUCUCUAUUUUCUCUCAAACACUUUUUGCAUGAUAUGCCUCUAGAAAUGAUAUGAGGGUUUAAUUUAUCAUCCUUGAUCCUAAUCUUGGUAGAGGAUGCUAGUAUUACUUUAAAAUUUUUCAUACUUCUCGUCCUUUGCUAUCACAUUCGAUGAUCUAUUCUUCAUAGGCUAAAAUGCUAUAUAAAAGGAGAGAAAAUGAUAACAAUUUACAUCCGUGUUUUAUUACAUGGUAUUCAAAUGUUUCUAACUCAAAAUUUUUUGAAUAUUGCGGUGUUAGUGUUGGAUAGUAACUUUGCCUAUAAUGGACAAAGAGUGGCUGCACUUAUCAAGGUUAUGACAUGAAAUUAGAUGUUAUAAAUCUAGUUACCAAAUGAAAAUAAUUCAAUUUAUAAUGAUCAUAAAUCAAAUGGAGCAAAAAUUUUUACUGAAUGAAGCUUUUCCAUGCUAUGGCUCAAAAGGGUUAUCUACUUGUGUCUUAUGAAAUAAUAUAUCUUAGGAACAUAUCUUGUCUUUUUACUUGAAUAGUACAACUUCAAUAUAUGUAAUUACUAAAUUUGUAUUGCAGAGAAAAAAGAAUCCAGAUUUAAAAGGAUUAAGAACAAGAGUAUGGACUCAUGGAUAUCUUAGGAAAGACGGAAAACCAAUAAAUGAAGUAGUUGCCGAUACUUUGGCAUGUGUAUUAUAUCAAUGUUCAAUGAAGCAUAAUUUGAUUUAUUAGUUGUAUCACUAAUAAAAUUAGAGUUCCAUAAGUGCAAAGAAAGAUUGAAGAUUGUGUCAUAUCAAUUUAUGAUACACCUGUCGAAGUUUCCAUCCGCGAUGAUGCUGUCACUCGAGUUUUAGGUCCUGAACGUCAUGGAACAGUUAAGGAACAUGGAUUUGGAGUUACACCAUCAAAAGCAGAUGGACAAAUACAAAGUAGUGGGGAGUUAGAGACCUUGAAAAUCAAUUACAGUCUUAGGCACAAAGGGUGAGACACUGGAAGAAAAAAUGGGAACAUCUCAAGUUAUCUCAAUAGGUUAUAAGUAGUUACCUUUUAAUAUAUACUAUGAUAAUAUAGCUUAAUAUAACCAAUUACAUGAUGAAAAACUUUUGUAAUUUUUGUAUCAUUCUAUAGAAUGUAGAGGACAAGAAUUCAAAUGUUUCUACUCCUCAAGUUUUUAAAUGUUUAUUCAAUAUAUAUUCAGUUUGUAGCAUUCUAAUUUUAAAAAGAAUAUUUUUACUAUGAAUUUGUAGUCACACCAAAGAAGUGGUGUCCAAGGAAGUAUUGCACCUAUGACAAAUGCAAAAUGUCAACUAUUACAUUGAUACUUGUUUGAGGAGGAGAAGUUGUAGUAGAAGUGAAGAUUGCAACAACAGACCCAAGUGUAAAGGUGCAUUACUUGCCACUUAGUCGAGACUGUUGGAAAGUUUGGGUUGAGGAAGUGUAGAUUGGUAAUUUGACCUUAUACAGACCUACAGAUAAAUUCCGAACUCUUAGUGAAGCUAAGGUAUGUUUUAUGGAUUUAUUACAUAUACACGUGAAUCUAUUUCCAUUUCAUUUCCAUCCCAAACAGUAUUUAGUGUUAAUCGGUUGGUACAUAUGAAGUGGUUUCAUGUUUUUUGCUUAUUCAGGUGUUAUGAAAUUGACUUUAUUGCAAAUGAGCACAGAAUGGACCAAUGAAUGAUGAUGACAACGAUGAUGAUGAUGAUAAUAGAAGUUCUUAGAUUUUACAAUAUGGUUUCUAAUAGGAAUUUCAAUGUCAUUGGUUGGUUAGCUAGUGAGAUUUUGGUAGUGAGGAUUAUAGGUUACUUCGCUGAACUCUUAGGUUUUCUUCAAUAAUUUUUUUUUGCUAUUGAAUUGUCGAAACAUGAUUCUAAUGUGUGAGCAACAUCUAUUAUCGAUUUGAUGUUUGGUUCUUUUUCAGUAAAUUGUAGUUUAGUGUAUUAUCUUUUUUCAUCUGAGUAGUUUUUGGAGAAGUUUUUGAAGAAUAUAUAAAUGUUCUAUGAAUAAUUUAUGGCGUCUGUAGGGACAUGGAACUGCUAUGUUUUGAUGCUCUCAUGGGGAUGUAUUUUAUUGGUUUCAUUGUAGAAACAUCUUGAGCGUCUCUAUACCUUUUGUAUUUUAUACUUUUGAAGAAUACUAAAUUUUACUGUUGUUUCUUCACAUAAUGAAUAUUCCAUUAAUGUUGGUGUUUGGUAUUUUCCGUUUUGUGUGUUGCAGGAGUAAAAAGAAGUUGUGCUAAACAAAUGAAUAGCACAUAAGCCUUUGUGAUUGUCUUGCAUUUCUCAUAAUUAAGUAUGUCAUAAAAGGGUUUCAUGGUACAAAAUUUGAUGGCAGUACCUCUACAUAACCCUAUCCCUAUAAAUGAAAAGGGGAAGUUUUUCUAUUUGAAAGUUUAUUUGCUAUUUAGUGGCUAUUGUCUAAAAACUUCCCUACGAGACUCGUUGAUUUCACAGGCCAAUCCUUAUCCAAUAACAGGUUCCUCUUUAAAGUCUCAAUUGAUGCAAGGCUCUAGUGGAAGUACAGCUUUGUCGUUGGACAGAAAUUGUUCUAGUGGCAAUGGUAUUGACCAAGGAACAUCCGACAUUUUCGAGUUUAAGUUUCAUAAUUUGUAGUUUCCUAAUUAUAUUUUGAUGGUACUUGCUUUGUGGUCUCCUAAUUAUUUCGGUGGUACAUGUUUCGUGGUCUUCUAAUGGACUGAAUCAACGUUCACAAAAAGAAAUUU
Molecule: long non-coding RNA, 5004 nt
Filed under: Olea europaea subsp. europaea
Lineage: Eukaryota; Viridiplantae; Streptophyta; Magnoliopsida; Lamiales; Oleaceae
Source: RNAcentral